GCCGAAGUGGCGAAAUGGCAGACGCAGUUGACUCAAAAUCAUCCGCCUUCACGGGCGUGUCGGUUCGACUCCGACCUUCGGCACCA
This 86-nucleotide transfer RNA is filed under the name Candidatus Melainabacteria bacterium. RNAcentral's name for it is "tRNA-Leu". It matches the Rfam family "tRNA". Rfam says of the family: Transfer RNA (tRNA) molecules are approximately 80 nucleotides in length. Their secondary structure includes four short double-helical elements and three loops (D, anti-codon, and T loops). Further hydrogen bonds mediate the characteristic L-shaped molecular structure. tRNAs have two regions of fundamental functional importance: the anti-codon, which is responsible for specific mRNA codon recognition, and the 3' end, to which the tRNAs corresponding amino acid is attached (by aminoacyl-tRNA synthetases). tRNAs cope with the degeneracy of the genetic code in two manners: having more than one tRNA (with a specific anti-codon) for a particular amino acid; and 'wobble' base-pairing, i.e. permitting non-standard base-pairing at the 3rd anti-codon position. RNAcentral also lists the same sequence under 2 other names. Lineage: Bacteria; Bacillati; Candidatus Melainabacteria. The record is from RNAcentral.